GAUGAACUCUAUCUACAGGCUUAACACAUGCAAGUCGAGGGGCAGCAUGGUCUUAGCUUGCUAAGGCCGAUGGCGACCGGCGCACGGGUGAGUAACACGUAUCCAACCUGCCGUCUACUCUUGGACAGCCUUCUGAAAGGAAGAUUAAUACAAGAUGGCAUCAUGAGUCCGCAUGUUCACAUGAUUAAAGGUAUUCCGGUAGACGAUGGGGAUGCGUUCCAUUAGAUAGUAGGCGGGGUAACGGCCCACCUAGUCUUCGAUGGAUAGGGGUUCUGAGAGGAAGGUCCCCCACAUUGGAACUGAGACACGGUCCAAACUCCUACGGGAGGCAGCAGUGAGGAAUAUUGGUCAAUGGGCGCAGGCCUGAACCAGCCAAGUAGCGUGAAGGAUGACUGCCCUAUGGGUUGUAAACUUCUUUUAUAAAGGAAUAAAGUCGGGUAUGGAUACCCGUUUGCAUGUACUUUAUGAAUAAGGAUCGGCUAACUCCGUGCCAGCAGCCGCGGUAAUACGGAGGAUCCGAGCGUUAUCCGGAUUUAUUGGGUUUAAAGGGAGCGUAGAUGGAUGUUUAAGUCAGUUGUGAAAGUUUGCGGCUCAACCGUAAAAUUGUAGUUGAUACUGGAUAUCUUGAGUGCAGUUGAGGCAGGCGGAAUUCGUGGUGUAGCGGUGAAAUGCUUAGAUAUCACGAAGAACUCCGAUUGCGAAGGCAGCCUGCUAAGCUGCAACUGACAUUGAGGCUCGAAAGUGUGGGUAUCAAACAGGAUCAGAUACCCUGGUAGUCCACACGGUAAACGAUGAAUACUCGCUGUUUGCGAUAUACGGCAAGCGGCCAAGCGAAAGCGUUAAGUAUUCCACCUGGGGAGUACGCCGGCAACGGUGAAACUCAAAGGAAUUGACGGGGGCCCGCACAAGCGGAGGAACAUGUGGUUUAAUUCGAUGAUACGCGAGGAACCUUACCCGGGCUUAAAUUGCAGAUGAAUUACGGUGAAAGCCGUAAGCCGCAAGGCAUCUGUGAAGGUGCUGCAUGGUUGUCGUCAGCUCGUGCCGUGAGGUGUCGGCUUAAGUGCCAUAACGAGCGCAACCCUUGUUGUCAGUUACUAACAGGUUCUGCUGAGGACUCUGACAAGACUGCCAUCGUAAGAUGUGAGGAAGGUGGGGAUGACGUCAAAUCAGCACGGCCUUUACGUCCGGGGCUACACACGUGUUACAAUGGGGGGUACAGAGGGCCGCUACCACGCGAGUGGAUGCCAAUCCCAAAAACCUCUCUCAGUUCGGACUGGAGUCUGCAACCCGACUCCACGAAGCUGGAUUCGCUAGUAAUCGCGCAUCAGCCACGGCGCGGUGAAUACGUUCCCGGGCCUUGCACA
RNAcentral lists this ribosomal RNA (1364 nucleotides) under uncultured bacterium. RNAcentral's name for it is "bacterial SSU rRNA". It matches the Rfam family "Bacterial small subunit ribosomal RNA", at positions 28 to 1387 of the family's 1533-position model. The record is from RNAcentral.